Podarcis lilfordi (Lilford's wall lizard) is the source of this 146-nucleotide non-coding RNA. The record is from the annotation of a GenBank genome assembly. Lineage: Eukaryota; Metazoa; Chordata; Lepidosauria; Squamata; Lacertidae.
AUAUGUACUUGGCAAGGGAGGUGCCAUAAUCAUGAAGAUGGACUUCCUGGGAUGAGGCUCGUGUUCUGACCCCUGCAGUUUCCCCAAAUGCUGUUGACUUGACGGCAGAAUCUGUGGCAGUGGUAAACUGCACUUGCACUUCCCCU